UACGGGGGGAGCAAGCGUUGUUCGGAUUUACUGGGCGUAAAGGGCGCGUAGGCGGCCACUGCAAGUCGGUUGUGAAAUCCCCGGGCUCAACCUGGGAACUGCAUUUGUGACUGCAUCGCUGGAGUGCGGCAGAGGGGGGUGGAAUUCCACGUGUAGCAGUGAAAUGCGUAGAGAUGUGGAGGAACACCGAUGGCGAAGGCAGCCCCCUGGGUCAACACUGACGCUCAUGCACGAAAGCGUGGGGAGCAAACAGG
RNAcentral lists this ribosomal RNA (254 nucleotides) under uncultured bacterium. RNAcentral describes it as "partial 16S ribosomal RNA". It matches the Rfam family "Bacterial small subunit ribosomal RNA", at positions 524 to 776 of the family's 1533-position model. The record is from RNAcentral.